UAGGGAAUCUUCGGCAAUGGACGGAAGUCUGACCGAGCAACGCCGCGUGAGUGGAGAAGGUUUUCGGAUCGUAAAGCUCUGUUGUAAGAGAAGAACGAGUGUGAGAGUGGAAAGUUCACACUGUGACGGUAUCUUACCAGAAAGGGACGGCUAACUACGUGCCAGCAGCCGCGGUAAUACGUAGGUCCCGAGCGUUGUCCGGAUUUAUUGGGCGUAAAGCGAGCGCAGGCGGUUAGAUAAGUCUGAAGUUAAAGGCUGUGGCUUAACCAUAGUACGCUUUGGAAACUGUUUAACUUGAGUGCAAGAGGGGAGAGUGGAAUUCCAUGUGUAGCGGUGAAAUGCGUAGAUAUAUGGAGGAACACCGGUGGCGAAAGCGGCUCUCUGGCUUGUAACUGACGCUGAGGCUCGAAAGCGUGGGGAGCAAACAGGAUUAGAUACCCUGGUAGUCCACGCCGUAACGAUGAGUGCUAGGUGUUAGACCCUUUCCGGGGUUUAGUGCCGCAGCUAACGCAUUAAGCACUCCGCCUGGGGAGUACGACCGCAAGGUU
This 548-nucleotide ribosomal RNA is filed under the name uncultured bacterium. Its description in RNAcentral is "bacterial SSU rRNA". It matches the Rfam family "Bacterial small subunit ribosomal RNA", at positions 355 to 895 of the family's 1533-position model. The record is from RNAcentral.